GUAAAUAAGGACAUAGAAGAUUAUGGAUGUUCUAUAUUGGAGGAUUGCAUCAGUUCCUGGACGCAGUUGGAGAGGUCACCAGGGAGCAGUGGAGCCUCUAGGGCUAUGGAUGUCUCUCCUGGCUAGGUCAUUGAGCUGCUUACUAGGCGGUUUCAUAAGAGUUGACCACAUUACCAUGGGUCUGGAAUCACAUAUAGACCACCAGUGCUCCAUUUGGAUGGAUACAGUGAUGCCCUUGUGUGACAGCACAUCAAGCUAAGGCUGGAUCAGAGCAAACCCCCAGAGCAUUCCUGCUGAAAAAAUACUUUGUUCCAUACUGCAUCUCGAUAUCA
Hemiscyllium ocellatum (epaulette shark) is the source of this 332-nucleotide long non-coding RNA. RefSeq lists it as uncharacterized. The record is from RefSeq and is a predicted model, not a curated record. NCBI's taxonomy places the organism in Eukaryota, Metazoa, Chordata, Chondrichthyes, Orectolobiformes, Hemiscylliidae. The transcript is spliced from 3 exons.